UACGUAGGGCGCAAGCGUUGUCCGGAAUUAUUGGGCGUAAAGAGCUCGUAGGCGGCCUGUUGCGUCCGCUGUGAAAACCCGGGGCUUAACCCCGGGCUUGCAGUGGAUACGGGCAGGCUGGAGGCAGGCAGGGGAGAACGGAAUUCCUGGUGUAGCGGUGAAAUGCGCAGAUAUCAGGAGGAACACCGAUGGCGAAGGCAGGUCUCUGGGCAUUAACUGACGCUGAGGAGCGAAAGCAUGGGGAGCGAACAGG
This 253-nucleotide ribosomal RNA is filed under the name uncultured bacterium. RNAcentral describes it as "partial 16S ribosomal RNA". It matches the Rfam family "Bacterial small subunit ribosomal RNA", at positions 524 to 776 of the family's 1533-position model. The record is from RNAcentral.